RNAcentral lists this ribosomal RNA (484 nucleotides) under uncultured bacterium. Its description in RNAcentral is "partial 16S ribosomal RNA". It matches the Rfam family "Bacterial small subunit ribosomal RNA", at positions 30 to 507 of the family's 1533-position model. The record is from RNAcentral.
AUUGAACGCUGGCGGCAGGCCUAACACAUGCAAGUCGAGCGGAUGAAGGGAGCUUGCUCCUGGAUUCAGCGGCGGACGGGUGAGUAAUGCCUAGGAAUCUGCCUGGUAGUGGGGGAUAACGUCCGUAAACGGGCGCUAAUACCGCAUACGUCCUGAUGGAGAAAGUGGGGGAUCUUCGGACCUCACGCUAUCUGCUGAGCCUAGGUCGGAUUAGCUAGUUGGUGGGGUAAAGGCCUACCAAGGCGACGAUCCGUAACUGGUCUGAGAGGAUGAUCAGUCACACUGGAACUGAGACACGGUCCAGACUCCUACGGGAGGCAGCAGUGGGGAAUAUUGGACAAUGGGCGAAAGCCUGAUCCAGCCAUGCCGCGUGUGUGAAGAAGGUCUUCGGAUUGUAAAGCACUUUAAGUUGGGAGGAAGGGCAGUAAGUUAAUACCUGGCUGUCUUGACGUUACCAACAGAAUAAGCACCGGCUAACUUCGUG